This 484-nucleotide ribosomal RNA is filed under the name uncultured bacterium. RNAcentral's name for it is "partial 16S ribosomal RNA". It matches the Rfam family "Bacterial small subunit ribosomal RNA", at positions 30 to 507 of the family's 1533-position model. The record is from RNAcentral.
AUUGAACGCUGGCGGCAGGCCUAACACAUGCAAGUCGAGCGGAUGAAGGGAGCUUGCUCCUGGAUUCAGCGGCGGACGGGUGAGUAAUGCCUAGGAAUCUGCCUGGUAGUGGGGGAUAACGUCCGGAAACGGGCGCUAAUACCGCAUACGUCCUGAGGGAGAAAGUGGGGGAUCUUCGGACCUCACGCUAUCAGAUGAGCCUAGGUCGGAUUAGCUAGUUGGUGGGGUAAAGGCCUACCAAGGCGACGAUCCGUAGCUGGUCUGAGAGGAUGAUCAGUCACACGGGAACUGAGACACGGUCCAGACUCCUGCGGGAGGCAGCAGUGGGGAAUAUUGGACAAUGGGCGCAAGCCUGAUCCAGCCAUGCCGCGUGGGUGAAGAAGGUCUUCGGAUUGUAAAGCACUUUUGGUGGGAAAGAAAAGCAGCAAGUUAAUACCCUGCUGUUCUGACGUUACCCAAAGAAUAAGCACCGGCUAACUUCGUG